GGGGACGAUCGGUUUCGACGGAAAAUGUUCUUUAAAAUCUGCAAGCAAAGUUUGACUAACACUUUUCAAAAGAAGUCAAAAAAUAAUUGCUAAACCCAAUUAUAAAUUCGCAUACGCCUAAAAAGUGUUUUUGCGAAUGUUUGCUGUUUUGUUUCUCAACCGAAAUAGACAAGCAUAAACCAGUUGGGAUGCGGUAAAUACCACUGACUUUAGGUAUUUUCCAAAGUUUUAAAGUCAAACUUCCAAUUACUUUGUUGGUUUCUUGAAUUGGGAGUCAUGAAAAAUCAACAAAGCUUGUAGAGGAUUUUGAAUUCAUUUUUCGGACGAGGGGUCGAUUCCCUCCGUCUCCACUA
Molecule: transfer-messenger RNA, 353 nt
Filed under: Patescibacteria group
Lineage: Bacteria
Description: GWB1-39-12 sp000993405 X2 Standard tmRNA
Rfam family: transfer-messenger RNA
About the family: Bacterial tmRNA, also known as 10Sa RNA or SsrA, is named for its dual tRNA and mRNA-like properties.
Source: RNAcentral